Molecule: ribosomal RNA, 406 nt
Filed under: uncultured bacterium
Lineage: Bacteria
Description: partial 16S ribosomal RNA
Rfam family: Bacterial small subunit ribosomal RNA
Source: RNAcentral
AUUGAACGCUGGCGGCAGGCCUAACACAUGCAAGUCGAACGAGUGGCGGACGGGUGAGUAAUGUCUGGGAAACUGCCCGUUGGAGGGGGAUAACUACUGGAAACGGUAGCUAAUACCGCGUAACAUCGGCUGUGCCCAGAUGGGAUUAGCUUGUAGGUGAGGUAACGGCUCACCUAGGCGACGAUCCCUAGCUGGUCUGAGAGGAUGACCAGCCACACUGGAAUGGAUGAACGGUCCAGACUCCUACGUGAGGCAGCAGGGGGGAAUAUUGCACAAUGGGCGCAAGCCUGAUGCAGCCAUGCCGCGGGUAUGAAGAAGGCCUUCGUGUUGUAAAGUACUUUCAGCGGUGAUGCGUUUCCCGCAGAAGAAGCACCGGCUAACUCCGUGCCAGCAGCCGCGGUAAUAC